Molecule: ribosomal RNA, 226 nt
Filed under: uncultured bacterium
Lineage: Bacteria
Description: partial 16S ribosomal RNA
Rfam family: Bacterial small subunit ribosomal RNA
Source: RNAcentral
GCAUUAAUCGGAUUUAUUGGGCGUAAAGGGCGCGUAGGCGGAGAUGCAAGUCAGAUGUGAAAUCCCGGGGCUCACCCCCGGAACUGCAUUUGAAACUGCAUCCCUUGAGGGUAGGCGGAGAAAACGGAAUUCCACAAGUAGCGGUGAAAUGCGUAGAUAUGUGGAAGAACACCAGUGGCGAAGGCGGUUUUCUAGCUUAUUCCUGACGCUGAGGCGCGAGAGCAAG